This 747-nucleotide ribosomal RNA is filed under the name Salmonella enterica. RNAcentral describes it as "partial 23S ribosomal RNA". It matches the Rfam family "Bacterial large subunit ribosomal RNA", at positions 1 to 688 of the family's 2925-position model. The record is from RNAcentral. Lineage: Bacteria; Pseudomonadati; Pseudomonadota; Gammaproteobacteria; Enterobacterales; Enterobacteriaceae.
GGUUAAGCGACUAAGCGUACACGGUGGAUGCCCUGGCAGUCAGAGGCGAUGAAGGGCGUGCUAAUCUGCGAUAAGCGCCGGUAAGGUGAUAUGAACCGUUAUAACCGGCGAUACCCGAAUGGGGAAACCCAGUGUGACUCGUCACACUAUCAUUAACUGAAUCCAUAGGUUAAUGAGGCGAACCGGGGGAACUGAAACAUCUAAGUACCCCGAGGAAAAGAAAUCAACCGAGAUUCCCCCAGUAGCGGCGAGCGAACGGGGAGGAGCCCAGAGCCUGAAUCAGCAUGUGUGUUAGUGGAAGCGUCUGGAAAGUCGCGCGAUACAGGGUGACAGCCCCGUACACAAAAGCGCAUGUGUUGUGAGCUCGAUGAGUAGGGCGGGACACGUGGUAUCCUGUCUGAAUAUGGGGGGACCAUCCUCCAAGGCUAAAUACUCCUGACUGACCGAUAGUGAACCAGUACCGUGAGGGAAAGGCGAAAAGAACCCCGGCGAGGGGAGUGAAAAAGAACCUGAAACCGUGUACGUACAAGCAGUGGGAGCCCCACCACCAAAGCAUUCUCUGGUGUUGAAGGCCCUGCAAAGCAGCAUCGCGGUGGCGGAGCGUCGUUUGCGACGCCCAACACAAAAAACAAGCGGUGAGUGCUUUGGGGUGGGGUGACUGCGUACCUUUUGUAUAAUGGGUCAGCGACUUAUAUUCUGUAGCAAGGUUAACCGAAUAGGGGAGCCGUAGGGAAACCGAGUCUUAAC